GUACACUCCUACGGGAGGCAGCAGUGGGGAAUUUUGGACAAUGGGCGAAAGCCUGAUCCAGCCAUGCCGCGUGCAGGAUGAAGGCCUUCGGGUUGUAAACUGCUUUUGUACGGAACGAAACGGCCUUUUCUAAUAAAGAGGGCUAAUGACGGUACCGUAAGAAUAAGCACCGGCUAACUACGUGCCAGCAGCCGCGGUAAUACGUAGGGUGCAAGCGUUAAUCGGAAUUACUGGGCGUAAAGCGUGCGCAGGCGGUUAUGUAAGACAGUUGUGAAAUCCCCGGGCUCAACCUGGGAACUGCAUCUGUGACUGCAUAGCUAGAGUACGGUAGAGGGGGAUGGAAUUCCGCGUGUAGCAGUGAAAUGCGUAGAUAUGCGGAGGAACACCGAUGGCGAAGGCAAUCCCCUGGACCUGUACUGACGCUCAUGCACGAAAGCGUGGGGAGCAAACAGGAUUAGAUACCCUUGUAGUCC
This 473-nucleotide ribosomal RNA is filed under the name uncultured organism. RNAcentral describes it as "partial 16S ribosomal RNA". It matches the Rfam family "Bacterial small subunit ribosomal RNA", at positions 331 to 796 of the family's 1533-position model. The record is from RNAcentral.